AGUGAACGCUGGCGGUAGGCCUAACACAUGCAAGUCGAACGGCAGCACAGUAAGAGCUUGCUCUUACGGGUGGCGAGUGGCGGACGGGUGAGGAAUACAUCGGAAUCUACUUUUUCGUGGGGGAUAACGUAGGGAAACUUACGCUAAUACCGCAUACGACCUACGGGUGAAAGCAGGGGAUCUUCGGACCUUGCGCGAUUGAAUGAGCCGAUGUCGGAUUAGCUAGUUGGCGGGGUAAAGGCCCACCAAGGCGACGAUCCGUAGCUGGUCUGAGAGGAUGAUCAGCCACACUGGAACUGAGACACGGUCCAGACUCCUACGGGAGGCAGCAGUGGGGAAUAUUGGACAAUGGGCGGAAGCCUGGUCCAGCCAUACCGCGUGGGUGAAGAAGGCCUUCGGGUUGUAAAGCCCUUUUGUAGGGAAAGAAAAGCAGCAGGUUAAUACCCCGCUGUUCUGACGGUACCCAAAGAAUAAGCACCGGCUAACUUCGUG
Molecule: ribosomal RNA, 492 nt
Filed under: uncultured bacterium
Lineage: Bacteria
Description: partial 16S ribosomal RNA
Rfam family: Bacterial small subunit ribosomal RNA
Source: RNAcentral